This 235-nucleotide ribosomal RNA is filed under the name Escherichia coli. Its description in RNAcentral is "partial 16S ribosomal RNA". It matches the Rfam family "Bacterial small subunit ribosomal RNA", at positions 1 to 232 of the family's 1533-position model. The record is from RNAcentral. Lineage: Bacteria; Pseudomonadati; Pseudomonadota; Gammaproteobacteria; Enterobacterales; Enterobacteriaceae. RNAcentral also lists the same sequence under 1 other name.
AAAUUGAAGAGUUUGAUCAUGGCUCAGAUUGAACGCUGGCGGCAGGCCUAACACAUGCAAGUCGAACGGUAACAGGAAACAGCUUGCUGUUUCGCUGACGAGUGGCGGACGGGUGAGUAAUGUCUGGGAAACUGCCUGAUGGAGGGGGAUAACUACUGGAAACGGUAGCUAAUACCGCAUAACGUCGCAAGACCAAAGAGGGGGACCUUCGGGCCUCUUGCCAUCGGAUGUGCCC